AAACCGGAAGUCGUCAGUCAAGCGAACGUGAGGGCUUUCUGCGAAAACGGUUACAAACAAAUCUAAAUGUAAAAAAAACCCUAAAACUUACCAUAUCCCAUAGCACCUGGUUGAUAAGGGAACAAGGUUGAUAGUGUUUGGGGGCCGGGCCAAAUGUGGAGGAGGGCCGGAUCUGGCCCGCGGGCCGUAGUUUGGGGACCACUAGUCGAGACGACCCUUUCAUCAACUCUUCAAUCAAAAGACCACAUUUAAGUUUUCGUGGCGCCGGUUUCUUCAAGCAUCUGCAUCAUCUCAGCUCCUCACAACCUUCAUCUGGGACUUGGCUCCAGUUUCUUGAUACCGAGCUGUACACGACGUCAAGCAAGAAGAUUAAAGAAAAAGAAGUUAAAAUCCCUCAGAAUCCCAGGAAACAUCUGCAACAAUAACAGUCAGUGCUUGAGCCGCUCACAGCUGCGUUACAACAGUAAACCUGGACGAUGACGCCGCGGCAACGACCAGACGGAUGUAAAGUAGCUGGUGUUAUUCAAAUCUGAUUAAAAUUCUCCACCGCAAUUAUUAUUUCUGUUAGUCUAAAAAUGUUUGAAAAGACAACUGAAUAAUUG
Molecule: long non-coding RNA, 602 nt
Filed under: Oryzias javanicus (javanese ricefish)
Lineage: Eukaryota; Metazoa; Chordata; Actinopteri; Beloniformes; Adrianichthyidae
Description: lncRNA (ENSOJAG00000022632.1)
Source: RNAcentral